RNAcentral lists this long non-coding RNA (203 nucleotides) under Homo sapiens (human). RNAcentral describes it as "non-protein coding lnc-LEMD3-2:1". The record is from RNAcentral. Lineage: Eukaryota; Metazoa; Chordata; Mammalia; Primates; Hominidae.
CCAAGAAUCAAAGUAAGAGACAGGGCUGGGUCCAUAUCUAGUUUUGUUUAACUCCAAAGCUCACAGCUUAACCACUCUGCUACAUGGAGACACAAGUCCACUAAGUUUAUAAUAAUUUUAGUUCCCACCCAGAUAAUUAUGGCAAUAAAAUCUGGGUCAUCAUCAUCAUAGCCACUAUAGUUUACUGUUCAAAACUCUCUUAU